RNAcentral lists this ribosomal RNA (2904 nucleotides) under Escherichia coli DEC15E. RNAcentral's name for it is "bacterial LSU rRNA". It matches the Rfam family "Bacterial large subunit ribosomal RNA". Lineage: Bacteria; Pseudomonadati; Pseudomonadota; Gammaproteobacteria; Enterobacterales; Enterobacteriaceae. The record is from RNAcentral.
UUAAGCGACUAAGCGUACACGGUGGAUGCCCUGGCAGUCAGAGGCGAUGAAGGACGUGCUAAUCUGCGAUAAGCGUCGGUAAGGUGAUAUGAACCGUUAUAACCGGCGAUUUCCGAAUGGGGAAACCCAGUGUGAUUCGUCACACUAUCAUUAACUGAAUCCAUAAGUUAAUGAGGCGAACCGGGGGAACUGAAACAUCUAAGUACCCCGAGGAAAAGAAAUCAACCGAGAUUCCCCCAGUAGCGGCGAGCGAACGGGGAGCAGCCCAGAGCCUGAAUCAGUGUGUGUGUUAGUGGAAGCGUCUGGAAAGGCGCGCGAUACAGGGUGACAGCCCCGUACACAAAAAUGCACAUACUGUGAGCUCGAUGAGUAGGGCGGGACACGUGGUAUCCUGUCUGAAUAUGGGGGGACCAUCCUCCAAGGCUAAAUACUCCUGACUGACCGAUAGUGAACCAGUACCGUGAGGGAAAGGCGAAAAGAACCCCGGCGAGGGGAGUGAAAAAGAACCUGAAACCGUGUACGUACAAGCAGUGGGAGCACAGAGCAAUCUGUGUGACUGCGUACCUUUUGUAUAAUGGGUCAGCGACUUAUAUUCUGUAGCAAGGUUAACCGAAUAGGGGAGCCGAAGGGAAACCGAGUCUUAACUGGGCGUUAAGUUGCAGGGUAUAGACCCGAAACCCGGUGAUCUAGCCAUGGGCAGGUUGAAGGUUGGGUAACACUAACUGGAGGACCGAACCGACUAAUGUUGAAAAAUUAGCGGAUGACUUGUGGCUGGGGGUGAAAGGCCAAUCAAACCGGGAGAUAGCUGGUUCUCCCCGAAAGCUAUUUAGGUAGCGCCUCGUGAAUUCAUCUCCGGGGGUAGAGCACUGUUUCGGCAAGGGGGUCAUCCCGACUUACCAACCCGAUGCAAACUGCGAAUACCGGAGAAUGUUAUCACGGGAGACACACGGCGGGUGCUAACGUCCGUCGUGAAGAGGGAAACAACCCAGACCGCCAGCUAAGGUCCCAAAGUCAUGGUUAAGUGGGAAACGAUGUGGGAAGGCCGAGACAGCCAGGAUGUUGGCUUAGAAGCAGCCAUCAUUUAAAGAAAGCGUAAUAGCUCACUGGUCGAGUCGGCCUGCGCGGAAGAUGUAACGGGGCUAAACCAUGCACCGAAGCUGCGGCAGCGACGCUUAUGCGUUGUUGGGUAGGGGAGCGUUCUGUAAGCCUGCGAAGGUGUGCUGUGAGGCAUGCUGGAGGUAUCAGAAGUGCGAAUGCUGACAUAAGUAACGAUAAAGCGGGUGAAAAGCCCGCUCGCCGGAAGACCAAGGGUUCCUGUCCAACGUUAAUCGGGGCAGGGUGAGUCGACCCCUAAGGCGAGGCCGAAAGGCGUAGUCGAUGGGAAACAGGUUAAUAUUCCUGUACUUGGUGUUACUGCGAAGGGGGGACGGAGAAGGCUAUGUUGGCCGGGCGACGGUUGUCCCGGUUUAAGCGUGUAGGCUGGUUUUCCAGGCAAAUCCGGAAAAUCAAGGCUGAGGCGUGAUGACGAGGCACUACGGUGCUGAAGCAACAAAUGCCCUGCUUCCAGGAAAAGCCUCUAAGCAUCAGGUAACAUCAAAUCGUACCCCAAACCGACACAGGUGGUCAGGUAGAGAAUACCAAGGCGCUUGAGAGAACUCGGGUGAAGGAACUAGGCAAAAUGGUGCCGUAACUUCGGGAGAAGGCACGCUGAUACGUAGGUGAAGUCCCUCGCGGAUGGAGCUGAAAUCAGUCGAAGAUACCAGCUGGCUGCAACUGUUUAUUAAAAACACAGCACUGUGCAAACACGAAAGUGGACGUAUACGGUGUGACGCCUGCCCGGUGCCGGAAGGUUAAUUGAUGGGGUCAGCGCAAGCGAAGCUCUUGAUCGAAGCCCCGGUAAACGGCGGCCGUAACUAUAACGGUCCUAAGGUAGCGAAAUUCCUUGUCGGGUAAGUUCCGACCUGCACGAAUGGCGUAAUGAUGGCCAGGCUGUCUCCACCCGAGACUCAGUGAAAUUGAACUCGCUGUGAAGAUGCAGUGUACCCGCGGCAAGACGGAAAGACCCCGUGAACCUUUACUAUAGCUUGACACUGAACAUUGAGCCUUGAUGUGUAGGAUAGGUGGGAGGCUUUGAAGUGUGGACGCCAGUCUGCAUGGAGCCGACCUUGAAAUACCACCCUUUAAUGUUUGAUGUUCUAACGUGGACCCGUGAUCCGGGUUGCGGACAGUGUCUGGUGGGUAGUUUGACUGGGGCGGUCUCCUCCUAAAGAGUAACGGAGGAGCACGAAGGUUGGCUAAUCCUGGUCGGACAUCAGGAGGUUAGUGCAAUGGCAUAAGCCAGCUUGACUGCGAGCGUGACGGCGCGAGCAGGUGCGAAAGCAGGUCAUAGUGAUCCGGUGGUUCUGAAUGGAAGGGCCAUCGCUCAACGGAUAAAAGGUACUCCGGGGAUAACAGGCUGAUACCGCCCAAGAGUUCAUAUCGACGGCGGUGUUUGGCACCUCGAUGUCGGCUCAUCACAUCCUGGGGCUGAAGUAGGUCCCAAGGGUAUGGCUGUUCGCCAUUUAAAGUGGUACGCGAGCUGGGUUUAGAACGUCGUGAGACAGUUCGGUCCCUAUCUGCCGUGGGCGCUGGAGAACUGAGGGGGGCUGCUCCUAGUACGAGAGGACCGGAGUGGACGCAUCACUGGUGUUCGGGUUGUCAUGCCAAUGGCACUGCCCGGUAGCUAAGUGCGGAAGAGAUAAGUGCUGAAAGCAUCUAAGCACGAAACUUGCCCCGAGAUGAGUUCUCCCUGACUCCUUGAGAGUCCUGAAGGAACGUUGAAGACGACGACGUUGAUAGGCCGGGUGUGUAAGCGCAGCGAUGCGUUGAGCUAACCGGUACUAAUGAACCGUGAGGCUUAACCUU